Molecule: ribosomal RNA, 449 nt
Filed under: uncultured bacterium
Lineage: Bacteria
Description: bacterial SSU rRNA
Rfam family: Bacterial small subunit ribosomal RNA
Source: RNAcentral
UGGGGAAUUUUGGACAAUGGGGGAAACCCUGAUCCAGCAAUGCCGCGUGUGUGAAGAAGGCCUUCGGGUUGUAAAGCACUUUUGUUCGGGAAGAAAACGUCUUAGCUAAUAUCUGGGGCGGAUGACGGUACCGGAAGAAUAAGCACCGGCUAACUACGUGCCAGCAGCCGCGGUAAUACGUAGGGUGCGAGCGUUAAUCGGAAUUACUGGGCGUAAAGCGUGCGCAGGCGGUUUGUUAAGACGGAUGUGAAAUCCCCGGGCUCAACCUGGGAACUGCAUUCGUGACUGGCAAGCUAGAGUAUGGCAGAGGGGGGUGGAAUUCCACGUGUAGCAGUGAAAUGCGUAGAUAUGUGGAGGAACACCGAUGGCGAAGGCAGCCCCCUGGGCCAAUACUGACGCUCAUGCACGAAAGCGUGGGGAGCAAACAGGAUUAGAUACCCCCGUAGUCC